Molecule: non-coding RNA, 988 nt
Organism: Nicotiana tabacum (common tobacco)
Lineage: Eukaryota; Viridiplantae; Streptophyta; Magnoliopsida; Solanales; Solanaceae
Source: RefSeq, a predicted model, not a curated record
AAUUAGAUAAUGGUACACACACGUUAAAAACUAACCUGCAAGAUCAAUUCAAACCCCACGAAUUGAUGAAACCGCUCCUUUAUGAAAACUGUUUUUUUCCACUUUUCACAUCUCUUUCUGUUCCAAAAAUAUGUACAACAACAACAAAAAUAACUCCGCUGACCACCACAAGUUAUUUUCUUCAAUGAAUAGUCCUAGAAUCUCUUUCUCUAAUGACUUCAUCGAUUCAUCUCAACAACAACAACAUCAUCAACAUAUGAUGAAGAAUGAUACAACAUCGUAUUACAUAGAUGCUCCUGUUUCUUCUGACUUUGAAUUCUCCGUCGCUAAUCAUUCUAUGAUUACUGGUGCUGACGAGCUUUUCUCUAAAGUUGUUGGAGGUAAUUAAAGAGAGUAUCAAGGAACAAGAAGAUUCGGUUCUCGCACAAGAAAUAAUGGGGAUGCAAUUCAAUAUCCUUCAAGAGAUGAUAGGACACACACAGUUGGUGCUAUCAGAUUUUUCUCUUAAUAUUUUGUCUUCAGAGGGCGAGAGAGAAGAAAGUCCCUUUUUAAAAGAUUUCUCAUUAUUGUGGAGCGUACUUGAUUCAAUUAAACAAUUCCUCCAGCAAAUACGGCUUAAAAAUAUUAUUAAAAUUAAAAAAAAAAUAUUUUCUUCUAGCGGUGCUUGAUGUACACUGCAGGUAAUGUUGGGCGAAGUGAAAUGGGCUUCCUAAAACUGCUUGGCCAUAGUGUUAACUGCUAAUGGUUCCUUGAAUUGUUCAUUCAGGAAGUUCUGCAAGACAUAUUUAUGGUUGUUGCUUGCUGUUAUCAAUUCAAAGGAAAGGAAUAAUUGGAUGCUCACUGCCCGGAUAGCAACAUUCGAAAUAUUGAGAAAAUAAUCCUUGCGUUUCUUUAUAACUCCUCCUGAAUAUCUGAUUCAUGUUUUUUUCCCCAAAGGAUCUAAUCAAUUGUUCUUCUCUCGAGUAGUUAUUGUUUUCCUCUAAAUUCA